UGGGGAAUAUUGCACAAUGGGCGAAAGCCUGAUGCAGCGACGCCGCGUGAGUGAAGAAGUACCUCGGUAUGUAAAGCUCUAUCAGCAGGGACGAUAAUGACGGUACCUGACUAAGAAGCCCCGGCUAACUACGUGCCAGCAGCCGCGGUAAUACGUAGGGGGCAAGCGUUAUCCGGAUUUACUGGGUGUAAAGGGAGCGCAGGUGGCACUGCAAGUCAGAUGUGAAAGCCCGUGGCUUAACCGCGGGAUUGCAUCAGAAACUGCAGUGCUAGAGUGCAGGAGAGGUAAGCGGAAUUCCUAGUGUAGCGGUGAAAUGCGUAGAUAUUAGGAGGAACAUCAGUGGCGAAGGCGGCUUACUGGACUGUAACUGACACUGAGGCUCGAAAGCGUGGGGAGCAAA
Molecule: ribosomal RNA, 400 nt
Filed under: uncultured bacterium
Lineage: Bacteria
Description: bacterial SSU rRNA
Rfam family: Bacterial small subunit ribosomal RNA
Source: RNAcentral